UCCUGGACCAGCUGUUUACUAGGUCUUGUCAUCCACCGUCCAUCCCAAGGGAUGCCCUCAUAGCCUCCUUGACAUCUGGAGGCAUCUCCCCUUAUUCCAGCCAGGAGGGCAGAGCGCAGGACCACCUAAAAAAUGCCAUCUCUUCUCUGGUGGAAACCUGCCUGGACCCAUUGCAGGAUUUCUGGGAGCUCCUGCACUAUCCCUGCUUCAGCAUGAAGCUGGCCUCUCUGCAUCUCAGCUUGCCUGGCUCGGGGCUGC
Long non-coding RNA from Diceros bicornis minor, 258 nucleotides. RefSeq lists it as uncharacterized. The record is from RefSeq and is a predicted model, not a curated record. NCBI's taxonomy places the organism in Eukaryota, Metazoa, Chordata, Mammalia, Perissodactyla, Rhinocerotidae. The transcript has 3 exons.